CCCUUGCUCUGAGCUCGCGAACGCGGCCGCGUCCGCCAUAGCCGUCGCGAAGCUCCGGCCCCUGCGUCGUUAUUGCCACUCUGCCCAUUCUCUCUGCCCGCAAACACCACCAAUAGCUUCGCCUCCAUCUCCUACAUCUUGUGCUCGCGCUCGCCGUCCUAAUCCGUCGCCGUGGUCGCCAGCGUGCCACCGCCGUCGCCGCCGUCGGUGUGCGUAUGUGGCCG
Molecule: long non-coding RNA, 224 nt
Filed under: Sorghum bicolor (sorghum)
Lineage: Eukaryota; Viridiplantae; Streptophyta; Magnoliopsida; Poales; Poaceae
Description: long non-coding RNA (SBIC_LNC016012)
Source: RNAcentral